AUUGAACGCUGGCGGCAUGCCUUACACAUGCAAGUCGAACGGUAACGGGCCUUCGGGUGCCGACGAGUGGCGAACGGGUGAGUAAUACAUCGGAACGUGCCCGAUCGUGGGGGAUAACGAGGCGAAAGCUUUGCUAAUAACGCAUACGAUCUACGGAUGAAAGCAGGGGACCGCAAGGCCUUGCGCGGACGGAGCGGCCGAUGGCAGAUUAGGUAGUUGGUGGGAUAAAAGCUUACCAAGCCGACGAUCUGUAGCUGGUCUGAGAGGAUGAUCAGCCACACUGGGACUGAGACACGGCCCAGACUCCUACGGGAGGCAGCAGUGGGGAAUUUUGGACAAUGGGCGCAAGCCUGAUCCAGCCAUGCCGCGUGCAGGAUGAAGGCCUUCGGGUUGUAAACUGCUUUUGUACGGAACGAAAAGCCUUCUUUUAAUACAGGAGGGUCAUGACGGUACCGUAAGAAUAAGCACCGGCUAACUACGUG
RNAcentral lists this ribosomal RNA (482 nucleotides) under uncultured bacterium. Its description in RNAcentral is "partial 16S ribosomal RNA". It matches the Rfam family "Bacterial small subunit ribosomal RNA", at positions 30 to 507 of the family's 1533-position model. The record is from RNAcentral.